Long non-coding RNA from Clupea harengus (Atlantic herring), 1024 nucleotides. The record is from Ensembl. Lineage: Eukaryota; Metazoa; Chordata; Actinopteri; Clupeiformes; Clupeidae.
GUAUACCUUUGAAACAAAGCUACUUAGCCAGUGAGGACUGAAAUAUGAACUUGAUAAGCUACCGAACAUUAAAAAAAAUCAUGGGACAGCAUUUUAACAGUCCAGCAGGAAAAUGUGCCGUCCAGCUUUUAUUUGGUCUUGGGGCGUCCUACCUGAUGUACAAAGCUCUCAGCAGGGCCCGCUGUAAACUCCCAGAAGUUGAAGUGCAAGAAGAAGAUCCUCGGGUGGAAGCCUUGAAAAAACGCAUUGAAAAUCUCCAAGGGUCAAAUCGCAAGAACAACAGUGAUCAGUUAUGCGAGAUUGCGCGUAUACUAGAGACACUUGCAGCUGAUGUAAACGUUUUUUUAAUUUUUUAUAUGUAUAUAUAUAUAAAUCUCUAUUACUAUAAUCCCAAGCCGUUCCAUUUGUAAUCCUAAAGAGACCUCAUGUUUGAAUUUUCUCGCACAGCACCGAGUGAACUUGAGCUCAGGGCACGUUCAGGUUAUAGCAGAGUCACUGAUGGAGAGCGAGGGAGAAGUCAGGAUAAAAUGUUUCCACGCUCUUCAGUGCGUUUUACAGUAUGCGGCAGAAACCACAGCAGCGGUCAAGGUGAGUUCCACAUGCCUCAUUAUCUUUAACAAAUAAUAUAUAGUUCUGAAUCAAGACAAAUCCCAGGGGAUAUUCCCAUUACCCAGGCUUCUAACAGCGAGUUACUUCACAACAUGCUUAUGCGUGUGUGAGGUCCCUUGCAUACCUAUCAGGGGGUGUCGUGACAGGGGAGGCAAAGCAGGCCCAGAGCAGUAAGUAAAAGUGAUUCUUCACACCACAGUGGUUUCUAGGGACAAGGUGUGUUAUGCAAAUCAGGACCCAGAUGACUCAGGGCUGGUUGAUGAAUGGGACAAACCAAAUGUGUUUACCUGUGCUGUUACACAGAACUGACCUUAACAACAGCUAAGUAGUGUGUGUGUGUGUGUGUGUGUGUGUGUAUGCAUGUACAUAUGCAUGUGUGUGUAUGUCUUUGUGUUUCCCUCUGCGUGUGUGGGUG